RNAcentral lists this ribosomal RNA (253 nucleotides) under uncultured bacterium. RNAcentral describes it as "partial 16S ribosomal RNA". It matches the Rfam family "Bacterial small subunit ribosomal RNA", at positions 524 to 776 of the family's 1533-position model. The record is from RNAcentral.
GACAGAGGUUGCAAACGUUGUUCGGAAUUACUGGGCAUAAAGCGCACGUAGGCGGUCCGUUAAGUCAUGUGUGAAAUCCCCCGGCUCAACCGGGGAAUUGCGCCUGAUACUGGCGGGCUAGAGGUCGAUAGGGGUGAGCGGAACUCCAGGUGGAGCGGUGAAAUGCGUAGAUAUCUGGAGGAACACCGGUGGCGAAAGCGGCUCACUGGAUCGAAACUGACGCUGAGGUGCGAAAGCUAGGGUAGCAAACGGG